This 495-nucleotide ribosomal RNA is filed under the name uncultured bacterium. RNAcentral's name for it is "partial 16S ribosomal RNA". It matches the Rfam family "Bacterial small subunit ribosomal RNA", at positions 28 to 507 of the family's 1533-position model. The record is from RNAcentral.
GACGAACGCUGGCGGCGUGCCUAAUACAUGCAAGUAGAACGCUGAAGGAGGAGCUUGCUCUUCUGGAUGAGUUGCGAACGGGUGAGUAACGCGUAGGUAACCUGCCUGGUAGCGGGGGAUAACUAUUGGAAACGAUAGCUAAUACCGCAUAAGAGUAGAUGUUGCAUGACAUUUGCUUAAAAGGUGCAAUUGCAUCACUACUAGAUGGACCUGCGUUGUAUUAGCUAGUUGGUGGGGUAACGGCUCACCAAGGCGACGAUACAUAGCCGACCUGAGAGGGUGAUCGGCCACACUGGGACUGAGACACGGCCCAGACUCCUACGGGAGGCAGCAGUAGGGAAUCUUCGGCAAUAGACGGAAGUCUGACCGAGCAACGCCGCGUGAGUGAAGAAGGUUUUCGGAUCGUAAAGCUCUGUUGUAAGAGAAGAACGAGUGUGAGAGUGGAAAGUUCACACUGUGACGGUAUCUUACCAGAAAGGGACGGCUAACUACGUG